UACAGAGGUGGCGAGCGUUGUUCGGAUUUACUGGGCGUAAAGCGUGCGUAGGCGGCAUCGUAUGUCGGAUGUGAAAUCCCAUGGCUCAACUGUGGAAUGGCAUCCGAAACUACGGAGCUUGAGUGCAGGAGGGGAGAGUGGAAUUCCUGGUGUAGCGGUGAAAUGCGUUGAUAUCAGGAGGAACACCGGUGGCGAAGGCGACUCUCUGGAAUGUUACUGACGCUGAGGCACGAGAGCGUGGGGAGCAAACAGGAUUAGAUACCCUGGUAGUCCACGCCGUAAACGUUGCGCACUUGGUGUUGGAGGUAUUGACCCCUCCAGUGCCGGAGCUAACGCGUUAAGUGCGCCGCCUGGGGAGUACGGCCGCAAGGUUAAAACUCAAAGAAAUUGACGGGGGCCCGCACAAGCGGAGGAGCAUGUGGCUUAAUUCGAUGCAACGCGAAGAACCUUACCAGGGCUUGACAUGGUACUGCAGGCCCCGUGAAAGCGGGGCGGCCUUCGAGGGUGUACCACAGGUGCUGCAUGGCUGUCGUCAGUUCGUGCCGUGAGGUGUUGGGUUAAGUCCCGCAACGAACGCAACCCCUGUGUUUAGUUGCCACCACCGGUGAUGAAUCGGUGAGCACUCUAAACAGACUGCCUGUACAAGCAGGAGGAAGGUGGGGAUGACGUCAAGUCAGUAUGGCCCUUACGCCCUGGGCUGCACACGUGCUACAAUGGUCGGUACAGAGGGAUGCAAUACCGCGAGGUGGAGCAAAUCCGCAAAACCGGCCUCAGUUCGGAUUGGAGUCUGAAACUCGACUCCAUGAAGUUGGAUUCGCUAGUAACGGCGCAUCAGCUACGGCGCCGUGAAUACGUUCCCGGGCCU
This 865-nucleotide ribosomal RNA is filed under the name uncultured bacterium. RNAcentral's name for it is "SSU rRNA". It matches the Rfam family "Bacterial small subunit ribosomal RNA", at positions 524 to 1381 of the family's 1533-position model. The record is from RNAcentral.